CCCUUAGAUGUCCGGGGCCGCACGCGCGCUACACUGAAGGAAUCAGCGUGGCUUUCUCCCUGACCCGAAAGGGUUGGGAAACCCGUUGAAUCUCCUUCGUGAUAGGGAUUGGGGCUUGAAAUUGUUCCCCAUGAACGAGGAAUUCCCAGUAAGCGCGAGUCAUAAGCUCGCGUUGAUUACGUCCCUGCCCUUUGUACACACCGCCCGUCGCUAAUACCGAUUGAACGGUUUAGUGAGGGCCUCGGAUUGGUCUCGGCCCGCUCUUUACCGGGCGGCGCCGUUGGUCGAGAAGACGCUCGAACUUGAUCGUUUAGAGGAAGUAAAAGUCGUAACA
Molecule: ribosomal RNA, 334 nt
Filed under: uncultured eukaryote
Lineage: Eukaryota
Description: partial 18S ribosomal RNA
Rfam family: Eukaryotic small subunit ribosomal RNA
Source: RNAcentral